AUUGAACGCUGGCGGCAGGCCUAACACAUGCAAGUCGAGCGAGCGGCGGACGGGUGAGUAAUGUCUGGGAAACUGCCUGAUGGGGGGGGGUAACUACUGGAAACGGUAGCUAAUACCGCAUACCCUCAGAUGUGCCCAGAUGGGCUUAGCUAGUAGGUGGGGUAAUGGUUCACCUAGGGGACGAUCCCUAGCUGGUCUGAGAGGAUGACCAGCCACACUGGAACUGAGCCACGGUCCAGACUCCUAUGGGAGGCAGCAGUGGGGAAUAUUGCACAAUGGGCGCAAGCCUGAUGCAGCCAUGCCGCGUGUGUGAAGAAGGCCUUCGGGUUGUAAAGCACUUUCAGCGGGGAGGCGUUACCCGCAGAAGAAGCACCGGCUAACUCCGUGCCAGCAGCCGCGGUAAUUC
RNAcentral lists this ribosomal RNA (406 nucleotides) under uncultured bacterium. RNAcentral describes it as "partial 16S ribosomal RNA". It matches the Rfam family "Bacterial small subunit ribosomal RNA", at positions 30 to 526 of the family's 1533-position model. The record is from RNAcentral.